UGGGGAAUAUUGCACAAUGGGCACAAGCCUGAUGCAGCCAUGCCGCGUGUGUGAAGAAGGCCUUCGGGUUGUAAAGCACUUUCAGCGAGGAGGAAGGUGGUGAGCUUAAUACGCUCAUCAAUUGACGUUACUCGCAGAAGAAGCACCGGCUAACUCCGUGCCAGCAGCCGCGGUAAUACGGAGGGUGCAAGCGUUAAUCGGAAUUACUGGGCGUAAAGCGCACGCAGGCGGUUUGUUAAGUCAGGUGUGAAAUCCCCGGGCUCAACCUGGGAACUGCAUUUGAAACUGGCAAGCUAGAGUCUCGUAGAGGGGGGUAGAAUUCCAGGUGUAGCGGUGAAAUGCGUAGAGAUCUGGAGGAAUACCGGUGGCGAAGGCGGCCCCCUGGACGAAGACUGACGCUCAGGUGCGAAAGCGUGGGGAGCAAAACAGGAUUAGAUACCCUGGUAGUCCACGCUGUAAACGAUGUCGAUUUUGGAGGUUGUGCCCUUGAGGCGUGGCUUCCGGAGCUAACGCGUUAAAUCGACCGCCUGGGGAGUACGGCCGC
Molecule: ribosomal RNA, 544 nt
Filed under: uncultured bacterium
Lineage: Bacteria
Description: partial 16S ribosomal RNA
Rfam family: Bacterial small subunit ribosomal RNA
Source: RNAcentral